GACGAACGCUGGCGGCGUGCUUAACACAUGCAAGUCGAACGGAAAGGCCAUGCUUUUGUGGGGUGCUCGAGUGGCGAACGGGUGAGUAACACGCGAGUAACCUGCCCUUGACUUUGGGAUAUCUCUAGGAAACAGGGGCUAAUACCGGAUAGGAGCUCUUGCUGCAUGUUGGGGGUUGGAAAGUUUCGGCGGUUGGGGAUGGACUCGCGGCUUAUCAGCUUGUUGGUGGGGUAGUGGCUUACCAAGGCUUUGACGGGUAGCCCGCCUGAGAGGGUGACCGGCCACAAUAGUACUGAGAGACGGCCCAGACUCGUACGGGAGGCAGCAGUGGGAAAUAUUGCGCAAUGGGCGGAAGCCUGAUGCAACGACGCUGCGUGCGGGAUGACGGCCUACGGGUGGUAAACCGCUUUCGCCUGUGACGAAGCGUGAGUGACGGUAAUGGGUAAAGAAGCACCGGCUAACUACGUG
RNAcentral lists this ribosomal RNA (468 nucleotides) under uncultured bacterium. Its description in RNAcentral is "partial 16S ribosomal RNA". It matches the Rfam family "Bacterial small subunit ribosomal RNA", at positions 28 to 507 of the family's 1533-position model. The record is from RNAcentral.